Molecule: ribosomal RNA, 213 nt
Filed under: Elusimicrobiota bacterium
Lineage: Bacteria; Pseudomonadati; Elusimicrobiota
Description: Elusimicrobia bacterium (anaerobic digester metagenome) partial 23S ribosomal RNA
Rfam family: Bacterial large subunit ribosomal RNA
Source: RNAcentral
AUCGUGCCAACGGUAUAGCUGGUUAGCGGUGUCCGGUAGGGAUAAACGCUGAAAGCAUCUAAGCGUGAAACCCGCCCCAAGAUAAGGUUUCCCCGCCCUUGCUUGCAAGGGCCUGAAGGCCACCAGAAGACUACUGGUUUGAUAGGCCGGGUCUGUAAGCGCAGUAAUGCGUUAAGGUAACCGGUACUAAUCGGCCGUGAGGCUUGGCCAUAU